This 65-nucleotide small RNA is filed under the name Salmonella enterica. RNAcentral describes it as "partial RtT sRNA". It matches the Rfam family "RtT RNA", at positions 1 to 65 of the family's 130-position model. Rfam says of the family: This family represents a bacterial cis-regulatory element known as RtT RNA. The exact function of RtT is unknown although it is thought that it may be involved in changing the cellular response in relation to amino acid starvation. The record is from RNAcentral. Lineage: Bacteria; Pseudomonadati; Pseudomonadota; Gammaproteobacteria; Enterobacterales; Enterobacteriaceae. RNAcentral also lists the same sequence under 1 other name.
AUUCUACCCAUGCGGGGAAGGAUGAGAAGCUUCGACUAAGGUUCGAUUCGAGCGCAGCGAGAAAG